GAUGAACGCUGGCGGCGUGCCUAAUACAUGCAAGUCGAGCGAACAGACGAGGAGCUUGCUCCUCUGACGUUAGCGGCGGACGGGUGAGUAACACGUGGAUAACCUACCUAUAAGACUGGGAUAACUUCGGGAAACCGGAGCUAAUACCGGAUAAUAUAUUGAACCGCAUGGUUCAAUAGUGAAAGACGGUUUUGCUGUCACUUAUAGAUUGAUCCGCGCCGCAUUAGCUAGUUGGUAAGGUAACGGCUUACCAAGGCAACGAUGCGUAGCCGACCUGAGAGGGUGAACGGCCAGCCUGGAAGUGAGACACGGUCCAGACUCCUACGGGAGGCAGCAGUAGGGAAUCUUACGCAAUGCGCGAAAGCCUGACGGAGCAACGCCGCGUGAGUGAUGAAGGUCUUCGGAUCGUAAAACUCUGUUAUUAGGGAAGAACAAAUGUGUAAGUAACUAUGCACGUCUUGACGGUACCUAAUCAGAAAGCCACGGCUAACUACGUG
Molecule: ribosomal RNA, 497 nt
Filed under: uncultured bacterium
Lineage: Bacteria
Description: partial 16S ribosomal RNA
Rfam family: Bacterial small subunit ribosomal RNA
Source: RNAcentral